Molecule: ribosomal RNA, 116 nt
Filed under: Escherichia coli
Lineage: Bacteria; Pseudomonadati; Pseudomonadota; Gammaproteobacteria; Enterobacterales; Enterobacteriaceae
Source: RNAcentral
GCUGGCGGCCUUAGCGCGGUGGUCCCACCUGACCCCAUGCCGAACUCAGAAGUGAAACGCCGUAGCGCCGAUGGUAGUGUGGGGUCUCCCCAUGCGAGAGUAGGGAACUGCCAGGC